GACGGAGGGUGCUAGCGUUGUUCGGAAUCACUGGGCGUAAAGGGCGCGUAGGCGGCCGUGGCCGUCGGGUGUGAAAGCCCGGAGCUCAACUCCGGAACGGCACUCGAUACUCCAUGGCUGGAGGCCGGAAGAGGAGGGUGGAAUACCCAGUGUAGAGGUGAAAUUCGUAGAUAUUGGGUGGAACACCGGUGGCGAAAGCGGCUCUCUGGUCCGGACCUGACGCUGAGGCGCGAAAGCGUGGGGAGCAAAUAGG
Molecule: ribosomal RNA, 253 nt
Filed under: uncultured bacterium
Lineage: Bacteria
Description: partial 16S ribosomal RNA
Rfam family: Bacterial small subunit ribosomal RNA
Source: RNAcentral